Molecule: long non-coding RNA, 3202 nt
Filed under: Mus musculus (house mouse)
Lineage: Eukaryota; Metazoa; Chordata; Mammalia; Rodentia; Muridae
Description: long non-coding RNA chr10:116992702-116995904
Source: RNAcentral
AAAGCCGCUGCUUGCAAUCGUGCACAGCCGACCCUAAAGUUCGCCUUCAGGGCUGCUUCUGCUAAGUUAGCAUGGGACAGUUUGAGGUCGUAAUCUGCUGUUGGACCUUUAAGCUUUCUCUUCACUAACCGUCCAUUUUUGCAGUCAGUAUUUGAGUUCUAAUACCCACUUACCGGGUGCCCUGACCUUGUCAGGCAUAUAUGGCAUUUCCUCCCCUCCAGGAGGGCAGAAAUCCUAAGGUCUGGAGGAUAACAUAUUUUCAUAGCUCGAACCCCUAAGAAAGCUAAAAUUCUGCUACACGUGUGUCCGCUGAGAUGUCUGCUGUAAGAAACUGCAUGAUGGCGUCUGGUUAUCCCAACAGGGUUUUACGUCACUCUGGUAGUGAACCGAUGGUGGAACCAGUUUGUGAAUCUGCCUUGGCCAGACAGGCUGAUGCUCCUCAUUUCCAGCAGUGUCCACGGGAGCGACCAGCAUGGGCGCCUGCUCAGAAGGACGCUGAUGCGCUACGUCAACCUGACGUCCCUGCUCAUCUUCCGCUCGGUGAGCACCGCGGUGUACAAGAGGUUUCCCACCAUGGACCACGUGGUCGAAGCAGGUACGGGGUGUGCGCUUGGUAGGAGCCACCAAAAUGCUUUUGAAAGCACCCGGGUGUAUUUAUUCAAGAAAUGUGGCAGAAGCAUUCUUAAAGGGCAAAGAUAAGUAGGUAAGAUAGGACUCCUGCCCUCAAGAAGUUUCCUUGGCAGGUAGAAGACAGAAGUAGCCGAAAGCCAAGAUGCCUUAAGAUAAAUAAUACAGUGAUGGUGAUCGGUCAUUAAAAGCAAUUUAUUUUGUUUAUUUUGUUCUGUUUUUCACUUGUUUUUUGCUUUGUUGGUGGUGUUUGUUUGUUUGUUUGUUUUACUUGGUUUGGCUUUGGCUUUGGCUUUGGCUUUGGUUUUGGUUUGUGAGACAGGUUAUCACUGUGUAGCCCAGGCUGGCCUUGAACUCACUGCAAUCCUCCUGCCUUAGCCUCCCUGGUGGUGGGAUUACAGAUGUGAGCCACCGAGCCUAGUUUAUAGCUAUUCCAGUUAGGUCUCAGGAUGUCCUGAAAACAGUAGAAGGUGGAUUUUAGAGAUUGCAAGCCGUCCUGAGUCACAUAGCUGCAGAGCGGAAGGAAGAGAAUUAAUAUUCAGGCUCAGAAACGCUAUAAUAAAAUGUGUCUUGAAGCAAAGUUGAAGGCUGGUUUGCUGUCGGUUUUCGUCCAGGUAAAUUGGGUGAAACCCUCCUCCCCGGAUGUGGUAGUGAAAGGCUCUCUCAGGGUGGACCUGUUGUCUCUCUUGUGUUUCAUGAGACGGUAGAUGUAGCUAUUCUAUGUAGGUUCCUGGGUCGUUCCUGGGCCUAGCAUGCUGAAAACGAGUCACGUGUGAGGUAUGGUGCUCUCUGGUAUGUAAAUGUUUAGUGAAGAAGCUGUUCAGCCAGCAAGGGCGGAGUGAGGUCAUUCCUGGCCCACAGUGAUGAUCCGGGUGCUCGAUUCUGCCUUCAUUUAGGCUGCAAAGUAAGAAAACGAAAGUGUACUCUCCAGUGUCCAUUUUCCUCCAAGAAGAAAACUGGAGGGUUUUGUUUGUUUGGGUUUGUUUUUGUUUUUACUUUGAUGUCUUUCUCCUUGUUUUGAGGUUUUUUUAUUUUAUGUUUUUAUUAUUUUUUUAUUUGAUGGGUAGCACAGAUAAUAUCUAAGAGCACAUAGCACAAGGGUUGGAAUUCUGACUCCACCGCUCACUAGUCACAUGACAGUGCUUAGGUACUUAGCCUUCCUGUGCCUCUAUCUUCACAUCUAUAAAAUGGGCUUAUGCUAGCGCAAAUAGGUUGUACAUCUUGUAGGUUCAGUGUGAGAACUAAGUAAGUUGAUAUUCCUAGCACCUGGAAAGGACUGUGUACUUUCUUGCUACAUUAAAGGAGCCAUCCAGACCGGCUAGUACAAGAUUUUGGUCACUUCUGAGGAAUCCUCGUGCCCAUGACAGCCCAGAUAUUCCAGAUCUAUUUUCACCACAAGAUUCAGAAAGUCGGGGCAGGGAAAGAAAGCAAGGGUAUAUGUACGUGAUAGGCCAUUUCUCCACCAGUGAAAUGAGCCGAUUCAAGGCAGAUUAGAGUAUAUUACGGCAGGUUUGUUGGGAAGUUGCUCUAAGGAAAGUUCACUGGCCCCCUAGACUGAGAUCAAGGAAGUUACCAUGGAGAGGGGGUGGGGGAGAGAAAGAGAGAAAGGGUGUGUACAGGGAGAGAAGACAGAGAGAGAGAGAAGGGGGGAGAGAGAGGGGGCGUGGAAAAUGCCUGGAUUAUAUCAUGAAGAACCUCUAAAGGAAGGGCAGCCCAGCCCCUAGGCUGGAAAGUUCAGAACUGGGGGCAGGGUUUGUCAGGUAGGGACUGAGGGAUGCUGGGAGAAUCUGGAGGCCAGAUCUGAUUUGAUAUGUAAACUAUGCACCUCAGUUCCUUGUCCCUGGGUCCUAAAUCAAACCGUAAGAAAGUUGUGGGGUGCAAGGAACUAGUGGAGGAUCCAGGCAGAAGGUUGAGUAGCCUGGCAAACACACAGGGGUAUUGUGUGAAAUGCCAGGAUCCAAAACCGAAGUAACCGCCUGCUGUCCCCCCAGUGUAUAUGUAGGAUAACUUCAGAAUAACUAGCCUGAACCGCUCCUGGGCAGCUUCAGUUUCUUACCCUACCACUGACUGACCUCUUGUGCAUCUAAAGUGCAUUGCCCUGGGCCCCACUUUGAACUUACUGACCAUAACCAACUUGAACCUUUAGAUGUCAUGCUUAGACCCCUCAGUUAGACACGCUGCCAUGUCUCUCCCUCUGUCUCUGUAUUUUAAGACAAUCUUGUCACCUAGCCCAGACUUGUCUCUCAUGGGAUCAAAAAUGUACAUCCUCAUUCUUGACUCCAUGUCACUUUCCUGCACAGAGGUUGACAAGCACUUAGUCUUUAAGGGGACGCUUCAAAAGCAAACAACAACAGAACUCUUUCUGAUUCCUGGCAAAAAAGGAAGAGGGAGAGGAUAAGAGCCAUCACCACUAACAAAUACCCACAAAGAAGACGUAGAUUUAGACCAUAGCCUUCCUGGGGACUGAGGAAUUCUAGGGCAUGCCCUCGGGCAGUGAGUCUGAGUAACUUGUUUAUACAUAGCUAGCAUAGUUCUUGGUUUAAAAGUCUUAGUUUCUUAGGACUGGAUGAAGGAG